RNAcentral lists this unclassified non-coding RNA (840 nucleotides) under Hevea brasiliensis (rubber tree). Lineage: Eukaryota; Viridiplantae; Streptophyta; Magnoliopsida; Malpighiales; Euphorbiaceae. The record is from RNAcentral.
UACUCAAGAUGAUCUGCUUCAUACAUUUUCGUAUUUGCCCCGGGAUCUUAACUUCAUUGAUCAUACAAGCAAAAUUGGAUGGAAAGAGUUCCAAAGGGCAAAGCCAAUUAUCGUUGAUCCGGGAUUGUAUGCGACUAAAAAGGCAGAUGUUUUCUGGAUUACACAGAGAAGAAGUGUGCCAACAGCUUUUAAGCUUUUUACUGGUUCUGCUUGGAUGGUCCUUUCUCGCUCUUUCAUUGACUUCUGCAUAUGGGGAUGGGACAACUUGCCCAGGACUGUUCUUAUGUACUAUGCAAAUUUUAUCUCCUCUCCAGAAGGUUAUUUCCAUACUGUCAUCUGUAAUGCUCAGGAGUUCCAAAAUACCACAGUAAACAGUGAUCUUCACUACAUAUCAUGGGACAACCCUCCAAAGCAGCAUCCGCAUUACCUUACAGUUGAGGACAUGCAAAAGAUGGUCGACAGUAAUGCUCCUUUUGCUAGAAAGUUCCAUAGGGAGGAUCCCGUGCUUGACAAAAUUGACUCUGAACUCCUAUUUCGAGGUAAAGACAGGCUUGUUCCUGGUGGGUGGUGCAUUGGAAGUCGGAAGAAUGGGACAGAUCCUUGCUCUGUCGCAGGAAAUAUCACCGCCCUCAAACCCACUUCAGGGGCAAAGAGGUUGGAGAAGUUGAUAGGAUCUCUUUUGUCAAAUGAUAAUUUCCGACCCAGACAGUGCAUAUAGCAAAAAACAUGCCUUAGAAAGUUGUUUUUCUUAAAUUUAUAGUCUUCAGAGGAAAGCAAGGAACAUCUGAAUGUAUCAAACCUGCAUUAAUGUUGUUUUCUGCAGAAAAGAAAAAAUUAUAG